Cyprinus carpio (common carp) is the source of this 959-nucleotide long non-coding RNA. RefSeq lists it as uncharacterized. The record is from RefSeq and is a predicted model, not a curated record. The transcript has 2 exons. Lineage: Eukaryota; Metazoa; Chordata; Actinopteri; Cypriniformes; Cyprinidae.
GUUGCAUCUAACGUUUAUUCAAUAACAAUCUUAAGGGGAAAUUAAAACAUCUUAGUCCUCAUCCUGGCCAAUGAUUUCAGGCAACGCAGCUGCUGUUUUGCUUAGGGACGCAUUUUGGAGUCCGAUCUGCACUUUACGGUCUUUUGUGCUUUAAUACUUUGAGAGUUUACGAAGCUGUAAAGACUGAGUAUUUUCUCCGCAUUGACUAUCUACCAGUUGAGGUUCUGGAUUGUUUUUUUCUUCUAACCGUAAUUGUUUGUUUUGUUUGUUUGGUUAUAUUGGUCUUUUUUUUGGUAUUGAUUUGUUUACCCUGCAUUUUCUUUUGUAAGCAUAUUGUAUGCUGCAAGGGUUAUUUCUUUUUGAGUAUUUAUUGAUUUUGAUUUACGUUUUGUGUGUGGUGUUCUCUGGAUGCUCGAGUGCCAGAGUCGCAACAAAGUGUUUAUAAGUUUCUUUUUUUGCAUUUUCAUGUUUUCAUUUCUAUAAUUUUGUUGAAUUUCUUCUUUAAUGUUAUUUUCUGUUUCUCCAGGGCCAGUGAGGAUCGGGUGGAACUGGGGAGGCUAGCUGCUGUCAUUUUGCAGUGUCACAGUGUGCGGUGUGUGUGGAUACAACUUCCCAUUGGUGUGUGUGAUGGUUGCUUUGGUGUGAAUUUAGGUGGGUUUUUGGAUAACCAUUCUGAGUUGCAGCCGGCCUGCCUGGUUCCCACUAAUCCUGGCCCUGGGAAUUACCUCCCUUAUUGUGGAAAUGGUUUGUGUGAGAGUUUUAAAUCUAUGCGUGUGUUUUAUAAUAAAAAUCCCAAUCUUUUGUAUUCUCGCCCCCGUCUCCCCUACUUUGCCUUCAUUUGGUGAAACUUACCUGUGUCCUUUAAUGGGAAUAAAUUCUCUGGUUUCCCACCAGGGUGGCGUAGUCGGAUAAAUUCACUGAUUAACCUUUCCUUUCAUGUGAUACCGCCACAGUAUCAU